This 487-nucleotide ribosomal RNA is filed under the name Preussia sp. 3 JAS-2013. RNAcentral describes it as "eukaryotic LSU rRNA". The stretch from base 151 to 304 matches the Rfam family "5.8S ribosomal RNA". The record is from RNAcentral. Lineage: Eukaryota; Fungi; Ascomycota; Dothideomycetes; Pleosporales; Sporormiaceae.
GGAUCAUUACCGUGGGGCUUCGGCCCUGUCGUGAUAGAACCCUUGCCUUUUGAGUACCGUCCGUUUCCUCGGCAGGCCCGCCUGCCAAUGGGGACCCCCAAUAAACCCUUUUAUGUACCUGUAUCAGUCUGAAAAACAAACAAAAGUUAAAACUUUCAACAACGGAUCUCUUGGUUCUGGCAUCGAUGAAGAACGCAGCGAAAUGCGAUAAGUAGUGUGAAUUGCAGAAUUCAGUGAAUCAUCGAAUCUUUGAACGCACAUUGCGCCCUUUGGUAUUCCUUAGGGCAUGCCUGUUCGAGCGUCAUUUGAAACCUCAAGCUCAGCUUGGUGUUGGGUGUCUGUCCCCGCCUCCGCGGGGACUCGCCUCAAAAUCAUUGGCGGCCGGUACGUUGGCUUCGAGCGCAGCAGAAACGCGAACUCGAGGCCCGGCGGAUCGGCGACCAGAAGCCUCAUUCUUCACAGUUUGACCUCGGAUCCAGGUUAGGGA